RNAcentral lists this ribosomal RNA (490 nucleotides) under uncultured bacterium. Its description in RNAcentral is "partial 16S ribosomal RNA". It matches the Rfam family "Bacterial small subunit ribosomal RNA", at positions 30 to 507 of the family's 1533-position model. The record is from RNAcentral.
AUUGAACGCUGGCGGCAGGCCUAACACAUGCAAGUCGAACGGUAACAGGAAGCAGCUUGCUGCUUUGCUGACGAGUGGCGGACGGGUGAGUAAUGUCUGGGAAACUGCCCGAUGGAGGGGGAUAACUACUGGAAACGGUAGCUAAUACCGCAUAACGUCGCAAGACCAAAGAGGGGGACCUUAGGGCCUCUUGCCAUCGGAUGUGCCCAGAUGGGAUUAGCUAGUAGGUGGGGUAACGGCUCACCUAGGCGACGAUCCCUAGCUGGUCUGAGAGGAUGACCAGCCACACUGGAACUGAGACACGGUCCAGACUCCUACGGGAGGCAGCAGUGGGGAAUAUUGCACAAUGGGCGCAAGCCUGAUGCAGCCAUGCCGCGUGUAUGAAGAAGGCCUUCGGGUUGUAAAGUACUUUCAGCGGGGAGGAAGGGAGUAAAGUUAAUACCUUCGCUCAUUGACGUUACCCGCAGAAGAAGCACCGGCUAACUCCGUG